AUUGAACGCUGGCGGCAGGCUUAACACAUGCAAGUCGAGCGGGGUGAUGGUGCUUGCACUAUCACUUAGCGGCGGACGGGUGAGUAAUGCUUAGGAAUCUGCCUAUUAGUGGGGGACAACAUCUCGAAAGGGAUGCUAAUACCGCAUACGUCCUACGGGAGAAAGCAGGGGAUCACUUGUGACCUUGCGCUAAUAGAUGAGCAUAAGUCGGAUUAGCUAGUUGGUGGGGUAAAGGCCUACCAAGGCGACGAUCUGUAGCGGGUCUGAGAGGAUGAUCCGCCACACUGGGACUGAGACACGGCCCAGACUCCUACGGGAGGCAGCAGUGGGGAAUAUUGGACAAUGGGGGGAACCCUGAUCCAGCCAUGCCGCGUGUGUGAAGAAGGCCUUAUGGUUGUAAAGCACUUUAAGCGAGGAGGAGGCUCUUUUGGUUAAUACCCAAGAUGAGUGGACGUUACUCGCAGAAUAAGCACCGGCUAACUCUGUGCCAGCAGCCGCUGUAA
This 503-nucleotide ribosomal RNA is filed under the name uncultured bacterium. RNAcentral describes it as "partial 16S ribosomal RNA". It matches the Rfam family "Bacterial small subunit ribosomal RNA", at positions 30 to 523 of the family's 1533-position model. The record is from RNAcentral.